Molecule: non-coding RNA, 290 nt
Organism: Pelobates cultripes (western spadefoot toad)
Lineage: Eukaryota; Metazoa; Chordata; Amphibia; Anura; Pelobatidae
Source: the annotation of a GenBank genome assembly
CCAAAACAACAUCUGCCGGUAACUUCUUAAUUAUUGCCACUUCUACAACCCCCUCCCCAGCACCCCAGUUCAAAUGCACCUUGGCAGUGGGUAACCGGUACAUGGCUCCCCCUGCUACCCGGACAGCCACUGAUCCGCCAGUGUGGGCCGCAUCUGGAACUAAAUGUGGUGCCACUAAGGUCAAAGUGGCUCCCGAGUCCCUCAGCCCCUGUACUUCUUUCCCCCCCACAAACACAACUUGGCGGUGAUGCUGCCUGUUGUCCGUGGCUUGCACAGACAUCACUUCAUAU